GUGAGUUCAAGGCGGGAUUUUCAAAGCGUUUGGCCAUAAAAGAGGGUUCAUUACCAACUUUAUUUGGACCAACAAGCAUCUCCGAAUCACAAUCUGUCAUUGGGCCGGCGGGGUGAGCAUGAUAGGAGACCCAGUGUGUGGCCGUGCACCCUGGGUUGGACCUUAGAAAUCUCAUCCAACUGUGCUCUUUUUGCUACUCACAGCAGCAAACAUAAGGACACUCAGAGCUACACUGAGGGCAGAGGCAUCUCUGGGGAGCGGGUUUCUUGGAAUCCUGCUCUAGUGUUCCCUUACAAUAAUCUACCAGUUCAGAUUUCUAAGAGACCCCACAAGCCUCCCGGAGUGGUACUGUAGGUUUAUUCCUUAUUUUCAUACCUUACAUAUGGCCCUUAAAAACCAUAAUGAAGCAUGUUUUGAAUUUAACACAUUCUAUGCAGAUUUACCA
Molecule: long non-coding RNA, 445 nt
Organism: Cyprinus carpio (common carp)
Lineage: Eukaryota; Metazoa; Chordata; Actinopteri; Cypriniformes; Cyprinidae
Source: Ensembl